Molecule: ribosomal RNA, 253 nt
Filed under: uncultured bacterium
Lineage: Bacteria
Description: partial 16S ribosomal RNA
Rfam family: Bacterial small subunit ribosomal RNA
Source: RNAcentral
GACGUAGGGCGCGAGCGUUGUCCGGAUUUAUUGGGCGUAAAGAGCUCGUAGGCGGCUUGUCGCGUCGUCUGUGAAAUCCCAUGGCUCAACUGUGGGCUUGCAGUCGAUACGGGCAGGCUGGAGUUCGGUAGGGGAGACUGGAAUUCCUGGUGUAGCGGUGAAAUGCGCAGAUAUCUGGAGGAAUACCGAUGGCGAAGGCAGGUCUCUGGGCUAUAACUGACGCUCAUGCACGAAAGCGUGGGGAGCAAACAGG